AUUCUAUUAGUAUAUCUUUAUUACGUUAUUUUUUCAUAAUAAAAAUGUUAUUAAUUAACAUAGAAUU
This 67-nucleotide transfer RNA is filed under the name Graptacme eborea. RNAcentral describes it as "tRNA-Glu". The record is from RNAcentral. Lineage: Eukaryota; Metazoa; Mollusca; Scaphopoda; Dentaliida; Dentaliidae.